Long non-coding RNA from Hipposideros armiger (great roundleaf bat), 726 nucleotides. RefSeq lists it as uncharacterized. Lineage: Eukaryota; Metazoa; Chordata; Mammalia; Chiroptera; Hipposideridae. The transcript is spliced from 3 exons. The record is from RefSeq and is a predicted model, not a curated record.
GGGCGUGGCCAUGGCUGCGAAAUUGUCACUCUUUUGCUACAGGAAAAAUGAAAGGCUUUCCCAACUGGGACGACAUAUAGUGAAACAUCAGGGAUUAUAGACGCCAGAAGUUACCCGGUUGGGGGGAGCGAUUAAAGGGAAGGGCGAGACUUGGGUCGGGAUAGGCUGAGGAGUGAGAUCGAGGGGCGAGGUGGACGACGCGGGGCAGGGUGGGCCCGAGAGUGGGCCCGGGCAGCGGACUCGAUUUCGGCUUCCGAAUAAGCAAGAGGAAUAGGAGUCUUUGAUAGUUUACCAGGACCAGUUAUGCAUUGUUCGAUUCCACCAGCGGUUUUAGAGAAACGAUUCUGUCAGGCCCUGUGAUGGGCACGAGACAGGGAGAUGAUGUUGAAUUCCCCGGAGAGAUGUGUACAGAAGGGGAAGGGAGGUUGAUGUCUAUGGAACAGAUGGAGGGUCGUGGGCCGCGUUCCCAAAAGGUACAGGAGCGGUGCUAAAUUGGUCCCGUCAACCCAAUCCCACCUGGACUGCUGGAGACACUGGGUUCUGGGAGACUCUCAGCCUUAAGCCAGAAGCAAAGAUGGGCACCAUUCCUGAGAAACAGAAUCACUGGAUUGUGGGUUCUUGGAGGACAGGGUCAUUUCCCAGGAAACUUGUGAUCCACCGAGGAUGGAAACACAGGUUGAAGACUUUCAGCAUCCUUGCUGCUGUACACAUCUGCGAUCCUUGAUU